GGUCUCAUAGCUCAGUGGUCGGAGCACUGGUCUUGAAAACCAGGGGUCGUGAGUUCAAUUCUCAUUGAGGCCU
Molecule: non-coding RNA, 73 nt
Organism: Hippocampus zosterae (dwarf seahorse)
Lineage: Eukaryota; Metazoa; Chordata; Actinopteri; Syngnathiformes; Syngnathidae
Source: the annotation of a RefSeq genome assembly